Neofelis nebulosa (Clouded leopard) is the source of this 387-nucleotide long non-coding RNA. RefSeq lists it as uncharacterized. Lineage: Eukaryota; Metazoa; Chordata; Mammalia; Carnivora; Felidae. The record is from RefSeq and is a predicted model, not a curated record. The transcript has 3 exons.
CCUCUUUGGAAGUAUCUUGUGCAUGCUGCGGACAGAUUAAAAGCUAGUGCUGGAAGGCCUGUCUAUGGUUUUAAGAAGGAAGCUCUGAGGAGUCAGUCAAGUGUGGACAGGAGAUUCGGGGGCAGAAAUCUGCUUCACAGAUGUGCUCAGAAAUGAAUGAAUUGAAGAGUUUCACCACCUGGCCCCAAACAAUCACAGAUGGCCAAACUGAGGCUCCAGAAGGUGUGUGACUUCCUGAGGCCUCAAGAGCCAGCACAUAAUAUAGCCUGGACACGAGGGGCUGGAUCUGAGCCCAGUGUUCUCUGUCCUCCAUGAGGCACCCACCCAUCUCCCUUUAACCGGCACCCACAUCUCUCCCUUUAACAUCCAACUUUCUCCACUUCAACC